Molecule: ribosomal RNA, 779 nt
Filed under: Favites chinensis
Lineage: Eukaryota; Metazoa; Cnidaria; Anthozoa; Scleractinia; Merulinidae
Description: eukaryotic LSU rRNA
Rfam family: Eukaryotic large subunit ribosomal RNA
Source: RNAcentral
AUUAAUAAGCGGAGGAAAAGAAACUAACAAGGAUUCCCUCAGUAACGGCGAGUGAAGCGGGAAGAGCUCAAAUUUGAAAUCUCCGAUGCCUGCAUCGGCGAGUUGUAGUUGCGAGAAGCACUUUCUAGGUGGAUCGGCAGGGCCUAAGUUGCUUGGAACAGCACGUCGCAGAGGGUGACAACCCCGUCUGUGGCGCUGCCGGCCGCCGACGAUGUGCUUUCGAAGAGUCGGGUUGUUUGGGAAUGCAGCCCAAAACGGGUGGUAAACUCCAUCUAAAGCUAAAUACUGGCGUGAGACCGAUAGCGAACAAGUACCGUGAGGGAAAGAUGAAAAGAACUUUGAAAAGAGAGUUAAAAAGUACGUGAAACCGUCCAAAGGGAAACGAAUGGACUCAGCAAUGCGCCCUCUGAGAUUCAGCCGGUGGGUGGCGUCGGCGCCGGGUCUUGCGGAUCCGAAUGGACCGCGGCCUCGGCGCUCGCUGCUCCCCGCCGUCGCACUUCUCUGGGGCGCGCGUCAACGUGGGUUGGGACUGGGUCUGAAAGGUGCCGGGAAGGUAGGCGUGGGCCCUCGGGUUUCCGCGCUGUUACAGCCCGGUUCUCUCAUGGCUCGGGCCCGACCGAGGAGCUUUUACAGGGCAUGCCUCCUGUGGCUAGGGUCCCGCCCUUCCGGCCGGCUGUUUUUUUCCAAUGCGGUGGACUGCUUGCAGUGCUCCGCGACGGCUGCCGGUCGUUGGGGUGGUGAUCUCGUACCAUGCCCUUGAGAUGUUGGCGGUCAUAUGG